AGGAUCAAUUCGCAGUUUAUUUAUGAUGGAUGAGUCAGAUUUGUUGUUACCUUUGUAGCAAUUCAGAAAUAUGGAAGCUUUGGUAAAGCCUUAUAGGUUCUGAAAGACUUUCUUGAACACCACAUUCAACGUUUCCUUCUGCGGCUUUCCUUCUUUGGUGAAUGCUUGCUCAUCUGCCAUUUUUUAGAGGAUUCGUGAAGUGGUAAUGGUAAAGCUUUAAAAGAUCCCAUAAACGCAUAUGCUUCUGUCUGGACCUAAAAAUCUCGUAAGCCCAAUAAGAAGAUUUAUCAUUCGAAUCGGGUCUGCAUUUUUUUAAGAAACAGGAUCCGAAUAGAUGAUCCAAGAUCCGCGUCCCAGUUAUAGUCAAUUGUCAAUUUUACCCCUCUUCGAAAUUUUUUAUUUUGUCGUUUAAAUCUUAAAUUGUAAUGACAUUCUCUUGUAAUUUUUUACACUUUCUAAGGUUAGUUUUUAGAAAAUGCUUCCCAAUUAAUAGUAUAGAU
Arabidopsis lyrata subsp. lyrata is the source of this 500-nucleotide long non-coding RNA. RefSeq lists it as uncharacterized. The record is from RefSeq and is a predicted model, not a curated record. The transcript is spliced from 3 exons. Lineage: Eukaryota; Viridiplantae; Streptophyta; Magnoliopsida; Brassicales; Brassicaceae.